RNAcentral lists this long non-coding RNA (274 nucleotides) under Physcomitrium patens. RNAcentral describes it as "long non-coding RNA (PPAT_LNC015036)". The record is from RNAcentral. Lineage: Eukaryota; Viridiplantae; Streptophyta; Bryopsida; Funariales; Funariaceae.
GAUAACAUCAUGAAACUCCUUCUUUGCAAUUCCCAAAACUUCUUUCAAUGUGAAUUCCACCUUAGCAUUUAAUAUACGUUCUUCCAACACCCCUUUCAAAUUUGUUGCCGCUUCAAUGUCAGAAAGUAGCUUAUAAGCAAUUGAUUUGCCCUUAUCUUUUGUCUCCGUUGUUUUUUCUCCCAAUGAUGCUGAGGUAUCCUUUACAGGCAAUUCUUGUGAAGCUGCCUCCCGAGCCUUGUCUCCUCGAGUUUGUCUCUUAGAAGAAUUUCUUUCU